AGGCAAACGAUCUACCUUGUUUAACCAACAUUUUUUUGAAGCAAGUAAUUUCCUUCGACAAUAAAGAACCAUUACAACCAAUCUUCAAUUCUUCAAAAGUCUCUUUAGUAAACUGAUGUCCAAUUCUCAUUGGAUCUCUUAAAAUUGCUUCUUUUUAUGCUUCUCCCAUUUGUUCCUUAGAAUCUUCUGGUAAUGGUCCGGCAGUAGGCUUUACCUUCUUAUCUGCCGUUUUAUAUCUCGUCUCUACAGUGACUUCUGGUGCUUGAAAAGAUUCAAGUAUGGUAUAAACUUCUCUCAAAUGAAUCUCAACAAUCUUAUCAUUAUCCCCUAACUCAAUAGAUGUAAUCAAUUCCAAUGAAUCUUCCAGUCCAUUUUCUUCAUAAACACCUAAAAUCCUCUCAUCAUCUUGUAAUGUACCUAACUUGCAUAAUUCUCCUUUAAUAUUAUAUAAUCUUUUUCUUUAUUUUCUUUUAAAAUCAUCAACUUUUUUAUACAUAAUAUUUCCAUUCUCCAAAAUACCAAUAAAACUCGCAUCAAAGGCACCUUCAUCUUGCGAGAGUACCUCCUCUUUUGUACCUCCAUAAUCUCGCUUUACAGUGGUACCUCCCUAAAAUCCUUAAAUCCUUUAACAAUCUUUGGUAAUGGUUUCUCCCUCAACCUAUCUCGAUUCCUUUCAUGGUUAGGAGGUACUAUUAGAAAUUGUACAGCUUUCCUCCCAUCUUUGCUACGUACCCUUGCAUAAGUAGAACCAUCGUCAAGUACUUUUGUUUCUAUCCGUGUUGCUGCAAUAUAAGGUUGUCCUAAAAUCAACGGAUAAGACGUCGUAUCUUGAACAAAGAAAUGUUGCUCCGUCGCAACAUCUUCAAUCCAAAUUUUGACAUCUGGACAAGCUCCAUAUAAUUCGUCCCAUGUGUUAUUAGCUGCUUGUAUUGUCCAUCCAUGUUCCAUAUCAAUUGGAUAUUUUUGCUUCUUAUAAAGAUCUUUAGA
This 987-nucleotide long non-coding RNA is filed under the name Physcomitrium patens. RNAcentral describes it as "long non-coding RNA (PPAT_LNC014984)". Lineage: Eukaryota; Viridiplantae; Streptophyta; Bryopsida; Funariales; Funariaceae. The record is from RNAcentral.